RNAcentral lists this ribosomal RNA (773 nucleotides) under uncultured Neocallimastigales. RNAcentral describes it as "partial large subunit ribosomal RNA". It matches the Rfam family "Eukaryotic large subunit ribosomal RNA", at positions 22 to 643 of the family's 3401-position model. Lineage: Eukaryota; Fungi; Neocallimastigomycota; Neocallimastigomycetes; Neocallimastigales. The record is from RNAcentral.
GUACACGCUGUGACUAGCAUAUCAAUAAGCGGAGGAAAAGAAACUAACUAGGAUUCCCCUAGUAACGGCGAGUGAAGCGGGAAGAGCUCAAAUUUGAAAUCUUAAAGGGUUUCCCUUUACGAAUUGUAGUUUAAAGAAGUGUUUUCUGUUGAGGUUUUGGUAAAAGUUCUUUGGAAUAGGACAUCAUAGAGGGUGAGAAUCCCGUAUUUGACCUUUACUUUCAACUUUGUGAUACACUUUCAAAGAGUCGGAUUGUUUGGGAAUGCAGUCCAAAAUGGGUGGUAAAUUUCAUCUAAAGCUAAAUAUUGGCGAGAGACCGAUAGCGAACAAGUACCGUGAGGGAAAGAUGAAAAGAACUUUGAAAAGAGAGUUAAACAGUACGUGAAAUUGUCAAAAGGGAAGCGUUUGACACCAGUGUUGUUUUUCUGAAAAUCAAUUAAAGAACUGUUUAUGCUAAGUUGUUUAGACUUUAUCAGCUAACUGUCUAGUUUUGAGCUUUUCUUUAAUGCACUUUUCAGUUAACAAGUCAACAUCAAUUUCUUUUGCUGUAAAAAAGCUUGAGGAAGGUGGCUUGAGAUUCGUCUUAAGUGUUUAUAGCCUCUUGCCUAUGCAGUCGGAGAGAUUGAGGUCUGCAGCGUAGAUCCUUCGGGGCUAAAUGCAUUUGUGCUAAGUUAUAGCAUUUUAUAGACAACUUGUUGACUAUGAUUUGUCUUGUAGCUUACUCGCUUAUGUUAUUUUACCUACGCUUAGGAUGUUGACUGAUAUGUAGUCGU